UGGCGUUUUUCAGUUGGGUGGUUGCUCUAGGGAAAGUUUUGACCACGGAUAACCUUAGAAAACGUGGUAUGUGUAUUGCUGAUUGGUGUGUCAUGUGCAAGGACGGUGAAUCUGUAAGUCAUCUCUUUCUUCAUUGUGAGGUGGCAAAGUCUUUAUGGAAUGAGGUUUUGAGGGAAGGAAAUGUGUAGCUGCCAGAUGGAAUAUGAUUCCUUUGUGUUUAAUGUGGUGUCUUUGGCUGGAAAGGA
Juglans microcarpa x Juglans regia is the source of this 245-nucleotide long non-coding RNA. RefSeq lists it as uncharacterized. The record is from RefSeq and is a predicted model, not a curated record. Lineage: Eukaryota; Viridiplantae; Streptophyta; Magnoliopsida; Fagales; Juglandaceae. The transcript is spliced from 2 exons.